This 433-nucleotide ribosomal RNA is filed under the name uncultured bacterium. RNAcentral's name for it is "partial 16S ribosomal RNA". It matches the Rfam family "Bacterial small subunit ribosomal RNA", at positions 29 to 507 of the family's 1533-position model. The record is from RNAcentral.
AACGAACGCUGGCGGCAUGCCUAACACAUGCAAGUCGAACGAGACCUUCGGGUCUAGUGGCGCACGGGUGCGUAACGCGUGGGAACCUGCCCUUAGGUUCGGAAUAACUCUCCGAAAGGGGUGCUAAUACCGGAUAAUGUCUUCGGACCAAAGAUUUAUUGCCUUUGGAUGGGCCCGCGUUGGAUUAGCUAGUUGGUAGGGUAAAAGCCUACCAAGGCGACGAUCCAUAGCUGGUCUGAGAGGAGGAUCAGCCACACUGGGACUGAGACACGGCCCAGACUCCUACGGGAGGCAGCAGUGGGGAAUAUUGGACAAUGGGCGAAAGCCUGAUCCAGCAAUGCCGGGUGAGUGAUGAAGGCCUUAGGGUUGUAAAGCUCUUUUACCCGGGAUGAUAAUGACAGUACCGGGAGAAUAAGCUCCGGCUAACUCCGUG